CCUACGGGGGCAGCAGUGGGGAAUAUUGGACAAUGGGCGAAAGCCUGAUCCAGCCAUGCCGCGUGUGUGAAGAAGGCCUUCGGGUUGUAAAGCACUUUCAGUGGGGAAGAAAGCCUUGGGGCUAAUACCCUCGAGGAAGGACAUCACCCACAGAAGAAGCACCGGCUAACUCCGUGCCAGCAGCCGCGGUAAUACGGAGGGUGCGAGCGUUAAUCGGAAUUACUGGGCGUAAAGCGCGCGUAGGCGGUCUGAUAAGCCGGUUGUGAAAGCCCCGGGCUCAACCUGGGAACGGCAUCCGGAACUGGCAGGCUAGAGUGCAGGAGAGGAAGGUAGAAUUCCCGGUGUAGCGGUGAAAUGCGUAGAGAUCGGGAGGAAUACCAGGGGCGAAGGCGGGCUUCUGGACUGACACUGACGCUGAGGUGCGAAAGCGUGGGUAGCAAACAGGAUUAGAUACCCGGGUAGUC
RNAcentral lists this ribosomal RNA (464 nucleotides) under Vreelandella stevensii. RNAcentral describes it as "partial 16S ribosomal RNA". It matches the Rfam family "Bacterial small subunit ribosomal RNA", at positions 338 to 795 of the family's 1533-position model. Lineage: Bacteria; Pseudomonadati; Pseudomonadota; Gammaproteobacteria; Oceanospirillales; Halomonadaceae. The record is from RNAcentral.